Strigops habroptila (Kakapo) is the source of this 132-nucleotide long non-coding RNA. RefSeq lists it as uncharacterized. The record is from RefSeq and is a predicted model, not a curated record. NCBI's taxonomy places the organism in Eukaryota, Metazoa, Chordata, Aves, Psittaciformes, Psittacidae. The transcript has 3 exons.
CCAAGCCCCAUCCAACCUGGCCUUGAACACUGCCAGGGAUGGGGUAGCCGCAGCUUCUCUGGGCACCCUGUGCCGGUGCCUCACUGCCCUCAUAGUAAAGAACUUCUUCCUUAUAUCUAAUCUAAAUCUCCC